AUUGAACGCUGGCGGCAUGCUUUACACAUGCAAGUCGAACGGCAGCGCGGGGCAACCUGGCGGCGAGUGGCGAACGGGUGAGUAAUAUAUCGGAACGUACCCAGAAGUGGGGGAUAACGUAGCGAAAGUUACGCUAAUACCGCAUACGAUCUACGGAUGAAAGUGGGGGACCUUCGGGCCUCAUGCUUGUGGAGCGGCAGAUAUCUGAUUAGCUAGUUGGUAGGGUAAAGGCCUACCAAGGCGACGAUCAGUAGCUGGUCUGAGAGGACGACCAGCCACACUGGGACUGAGACACGGCCCAGACUCCUACGGGAGGCAGCAGUGGGGAAUUUUGGACAAUGGGCGCAAGCCUGAUCCAGCAAUGCCGCGUGAGUGAAGAAGGCCUUCGGGUUGUAAAGCUCUUUUGUCAGGGAAGAAACGGGACUGGAUAAUACCUGGUCCUAAUGACGGUACCUGAAGAAUAAGCACCGGCUAACUACGUGCCAGCCGCCGCCGUAA
RNAcentral lists this ribosomal RNA (498 nucleotides) under uncultured bacterium. Its description in RNAcentral is "partial 16S ribosomal RNA". It matches the Rfam family "Bacterial small subunit ribosomal RNA", at positions 30 to 523 of the family's 1533-position model. The record is from RNAcentral.